GCGUAUAGAGCAUUGAUGGGACUCACUUUUCGUUGACUUUCCGAUUGACUUAACGUAUUGCGCUACGCUGGCAGCGUAGCGGUCAGGGGUUCGAGCCCCCUAUGCUCCA
This 109-nucleotide transfer RNA is filed under the name Peribacillus asahii. Its description in RNAcentral is "tRNA-Ala". The record is from RNAcentral. RNAcentral also lists the same sequence under 1 other name. Lineage: Bacteria; Bacillati; Bacillota; Bacilli; Caryophanales; Bacillaceae.